UGCAGAAUCCCGUGAACCAUCGAGUCUUUGAACGCAAGUUGCGCCCGGAGCCUUUAGGCCGAGGGCACGCCUGCCUGGGCGUCA
RNAcentral lists this ribosomal RNA (84 nucleotides) under Crataegus douglasii. RNAcentral's name for it is "partial 5.8S ribosomal RNA". It matches the Rfam family "5.8S ribosomal RNA", at positions 73 to 154 of the family's 154-position model. From Rfam's summary of the family: 5.8S ribosomal RNA (5.8S rRNA) is a component of the large subunit of the eukaryotic ribosome. It is transcribed by RNA polymerase I as part of the 45S precursor that also contains 18S and 28S rRNA. The record is from RNAcentral. Lineage: Eukaryota; Viridiplantae; Streptophyta; Magnoliopsida; Rosales; Rosaceae.